RNAcentral lists this ribosomal RNA (464 nucleotides) under Vreelandella stevensii. Its description in RNAcentral is "partial 16S ribosomal RNA". It matches the Rfam family "Bacterial small subunit ribosomal RNA", at positions 338 to 794 of the family's 1533-position model. Lineage: Bacteria; Pseudomonadati; Pseudomonadota; Gammaproteobacteria; Oceanospirillales; Halomonadaceae. The record is from RNAcentral.
CCUACGGGUGGCAGCAGUGGGGAAUAUUGGACAAUGGGCGAAAGCCUGAUCCAGCCAUGCCGCGUGUGUGAAGAAGGCCUUCGGGUUGUAAAGCACUUUCAGUGGGGAAGAAAGCCUUGGGGCUAAUACCCUCGAGGAAGGACAUCACCCACAGAAGAAGCACCGGCUAACUCCGUGCCAGCAGCCGCGGUAAUACGGAGGGUGCGAGCGUUAAUCGGAAUUACUGGGCGUAAAGCGCGCGUAGGCGGUCUGAUAAGCCGGUUGUGAAAGCCCCGGGCUCAACCUGGGAACGGCAUCCGGAACUGUCAGGCUAGAGUGCAGGAGAGGAAGGUAGAAUUCCCGGUGUAGCGGUGAAAUGCGUAGAGAUCGGGAGGAAUACCAGUGGCGAAGGCGGCCUUCUGGACUGACACUGACGCUGAGGUGCGAAAGCGUGGGUAGCAAACAGGAUUAGAUACCCCGGUAGU